AUAGAUUGCGCCGCAGUGAGUUCAUGGUGGGCUUUCAUUGUGGGUGGAAGGCGUGUGGAAAAAAGUACCUGAGGAAACUGAAGUAACUCUAAAUAUGAAUUGUGCCUGCGCAUACCCCGAGAACUGGUGGAAGGAGGAAUAUAGAACCACAAUUCUGAGCAGUGACAAGGGAGCCUGGGAAGCGGAGAGCCGAGAUACUGAUGCGCGUGUGCUGUUCCUCUGAGGUGUUCGAUGUUGAUUUUGUUCAUUUUGUCUCGUCUCGCCACGUCAAGAGCACGCUACAUCCUCGUCCUCGGUCCUGCCUCUUAUUACUCACACCACUCACACGGAGAGACAGACACACACACGGACCGUAAGCGACGCGGGGACCGGACAAGGCUAACGACGAGCGGACGAGCGAACAAGCAUGGUCAAGCACUAGCAAAGGAAUGAUGGAAAGAUGCAUCCACCAUGUUUAAAUACUCAUGCAUUACAGGAA
Long non-coding RNA from Scylla paramamosain (green mud crab), 478 nucleotides. RefSeq lists it as uncharacterized. The record is from RefSeq and is a predicted model, not a curated record. Lineage: Eukaryota; Metazoa; Arthropoda; Malacostraca; Decapoda; Portunidae. The transcript has 3 exons.